CUACGGGGGGCUGCAGUAAGGAAUAUUGCGCAAUGGAGGCAACUCUGACGCAGCCAUGCCGCGUGCAGGAAGAAGGCCUUAUGGGUCGUAAACUGCUUUUAUUUAGGAAUAAACCCCCGAACGUGUUCGGGGCUGAAGGUACUAAACGAAUAAGCACCGGCUAACUCCGUGCCAGCAGCCGCGGUAAUACGGAGGGUGCAAGCGUUAUCCGGAUUUAUUGGGUUUAAAGGGUGCGCAGGCGGGCUAUUAAGUCAGUGGUGAAAUCCCGGGGCUCAACUCCGGAACUGCCAUUGAUACUGAUAGUCUUAAGUUUGGUUGAAGUGGGCGGAAUGUAGCAUGUAGCGGUGAAAUGCAUAGAUAUGCUACAGAACACCAAUCGCGAAGGCAGCUCACUAAGCCAAAACUGACGCUCAUGCACGAAAGCGUGGGGAUCAAACAGGAUUAGAUACCCUCGUAGUC
RNAcentral lists this ribosomal RNA (459 nucleotides) under uncultured bacterium. Its description in RNAcentral is "partial 16S ribosomal RNA". It matches the Rfam family "Bacterial small subunit ribosomal RNA", at positions 339 to 795 of the family's 1533-position model. The record is from RNAcentral.